This 460-nucleotide ribosomal RNA is filed under the name uncultured bacterium. Its description in RNAcentral is "partial 16S ribosomal RNA". It matches the Rfam family "Bacterial small subunit ribosomal RNA", at positions 338 to 795 of the family's 1533-position model. The record is from RNAcentral.
CCUACGGGUGGCAGCAGUGAGGAAUAUUGGUCAAUGGGCUUACGCCUGAACCAGCCAAGUCGCGUGAGGGAAGACUGCCCUAUGGGUUGUAAACCUCUUUUGUCAGGGAGCAACACCGGCUACGUGUAGCCGGCCUGAGAGUACCUGAAGAAAAAGCAUCGGCUAACUCCGUGCCAGCAGCCGCGGGAAUACGGAGGAUGCGAGCGUUAUCCGGAUUUAUUGGGUUGAAAGGGUGCGCAGGCGGAAGAUCAAGUCAGCGGUAAAAUUGAGAGGCUCAACCUCUGCGAGCCGUUGAAACUGGUUGUCUUGAGAGGUCGAGAAGGAUGCGGAAUGCGUGGUGUAGCGGUGAAAUGCAUAGAUAUCACGCAGAACUCCGAUUGCGAAGGCAGCAUACCGGCGCUGAACUGACGCUCAUGCACGAAAGUGUGGGUAUCGAACAGGAUUAGAUACCCGAGUAGUC